ACUGUACGGGAGGCAGCAGUGAGGAAUAUUGGUCAAUGGGCGAGAGCCUGAACCAGCCAAGUCGCGUGAAGGAUGACAGCCCUAUGGGUUGUAAACUUCUUUUGCAGGGGAAUAAAGAACAGCACGUGUGCUGUAGUGAAUGUACCCUACGAAUAAGCAUCGGCUAACUCCGUGCCAGCAGCCGCGGUAAUCAGU
RNAcentral lists this ribosomal RNA (195 nucleotides) under uncultured bacterium. RNAcentral's name for it is "partial 16S ribosomal RNA". It matches the Rfam family "Bacterial small subunit ribosomal RNA", at positions 335 to 528 of the family's 1533-position model. The record is from RNAcentral.